RNAcentral lists this ribosomal RNA (433 nucleotides) under uncultured bacterium. RNAcentral describes it as "partial 16S ribosomal RNA". It matches the Rfam family "Bacterial small subunit ribosomal RNA", at positions 29 to 507 of the family's 1533-position model. The record is from RNAcentral.
AACGAACGCUGGCGGCAUGCCUAACACAUGCAAGUCGAACGAGACCUUCGGGUCUAGUGGCGCACGGGUGCGUAACGCGUGGGAACCUGCCUUUAGGUUCGGAAUAACUCCGAGAAAUUUGAGCUAAUACCGGAUAAUGUCUUCGGACCAAAGAUUUAUCGCCUUUAGAUGGGCCCGCGUUGGAUUAGCUAGUUGGUGGGGUAAAGGCCUACCAAGGCGACGAUCCAUAGCUGGUCUGAGAGGAUGAUCAGCCACACUGGGACUGAGACACGGCCCAGACUCCUACGGGAGGCAGCAGUGGGGAAUAUUGGACAAUGGGCGAAAGCCUGAUCCAGCAAUGCCGCGUGAGUGAUGAAGGCCUUAGGGUUGUAAAGCUCUUUUACCCGAGAUGAUAAUGACAGUAUCGGGAGAAUAAGCUCCGGCUAACUCCGUG